CUACGGGUCGCAGCAGUGGGGAAUAUUGCACAAUGGGCGCAAGCCUGAUGCAGCCAUGCCGCGUGUAUGAAGAAGGCCUUCGGGUUGUAAAGUACUUUCAGCGGGGAGGAAGGGAGUAAAGUUAAUACCUUUGCUCAUUGACGUUACCCGCAGAAGAAGCACCGGCUAACUCCGUGCCAGCAGCCGCGGUGAAUACGGAGGGUGCAAGCGUUAAUCGGAAUUACUGGGCGUAAAGCGCACGCAGGCGGUUUGUUAAGUCAGAUGUGAAAUCCCCGGGCUCAACCUGGGAACUGCAUCUGAUACUGGCAAGCUUGAGUCUCGUAGAGGGGGGUAGAAUUCCAGGUGUAGCGGUGAAAUGCGUAGAGAUCUGGAGGAAUACCGGUGGCGAAGGCGGCCCCCUGGACGAAGACUGACGCUCAGGUGCGAAAGCGUGGGGAGCAAACAGGAUUAGAUACCCUGGUAGUC
Molecule: ribosomal RNA, 465 nt
Filed under: uncultured bacterium
Lineage: Bacteria
Description: partial 16S ribosomal RNA
Rfam family: Bacterial small subunit ribosomal RNA
Source: RNAcentral